Molecule: transfer RNA, 83 nt
Filed under: Candidatus Staskawiczbacteria bacterium
Lineage: Bacteria; Candidatus Staskawicziibacteriota
Description: tRNA-Leu
Rfam family: tRNA
About the family: Transfer RNA (tRNA) molecules are approximately 80 nucleotides in length. Their secondary structure includes four short double-helical elements and three loops (D, anti-codon, and T loops). Further hydrogen bonds mediate the characteristic L-shaped molecular structure. tRNAs have two regions of fundamental functional importance: the anti-codon, which is responsible for specific mRNA codon recognition, and the 3' end, to which the tRNAs corresponding amino acid is attached (by aminoacyl-tRNA synthetases). tRNAs cope with the degeneracy of the genetic code in two manners: having more than one tRNA (with a specific anti-codon) for a particular amino acid; and 'wobble' base-pairing, i.e. permitting non-standard base-pairing at the 3rd anti-codon position.
Source: RNAcentral
GCGGGUAUGGCGAAAUAGCAGACGCGCCAGCCUUAGGAGCUGGUGGGAGUAAUCCCGUGAGGGUGCAAAUCCUUCUACCCGCA